AUUUAUGUUACAGCCUGGAAGA
RNAcentral lists this unclassified non-coding RNA (22 nucleotides) under Mus musculus (house mouse). RNAcentral's name for it is "oocyte_clustered_small_RNA13228". Lineage: Eukaryota; Metazoa; Chordata; Mammalia; Rodentia; Muridae. The record is from RNAcentral.